GCCUACGGGACGCAGCAGUGGGGAAUAUUGCACAAUGGGGGAAACCCUGAUGCAGCGACGCCGCGUGAGUGAAGAAGUAUCUCGGUACGUAAAGCUCGAUCAGCAGGGAAGAAAAUGACGGUACCUGACUAAGAAGCACCGGCUAAAUACGUGCCAGCAGCCGCGGUAAUACGUAUGGUGCAAGCGUUAUCCGGAAUGACUGGGUGUAAAGGGAGCGUGGACGGUUGUACAAGUCUGAUGUGAAAGCCCACGGCUCAACUGUGGGAGUGCAUUGGAAACUGUAGAACUAGAGUAUCGGAGAGGCA
RNAcentral lists this ribosomal RNA (305 nucleotides) under uncultured bacterium. Its description in RNAcentral is "bacterial SSU rRNA". It matches the Rfam family "Bacterial small subunit ribosomal RNA", at positions 337 to 659 of the family's 1533-position model. The record is from RNAcentral.